This 74-nucleotide transfer RNA is filed under the name Apaloderma vittatum (bar-tailed trogon). It matches the Rfam family "tRNA". Rfam says of the family: Transfer RNA (tRNA) molecules are approximately 80 nucleotides in length. Their secondary structure includes four short double-helical elements and three loops (D, anti-codon, and T loops). Further hydrogen bonds mediate the characteristic L-shaped molecular structure. tRNAs have two regions of fundamental functional importance: the anti-codon, which is responsible for specific mRNA codon recognition, and the 3' end, to which the tRNAs corresponding amino acid is attached (by aminoacyl-tRNA synthetases). tRNAs cope with the degeneracy of the genetic code in two manners: having more than one tRNA (with a specific anti-codon) for a particular amino acid; and 'wobble' base-pairing, i.e. permitting non-standard base-pairing at the 3rd anti-codon position. Lineage: Eukaryota; Metazoa; Chordata; Aves; Trogoniformes; Trogonidae. The record is from Rfam by way of RNAcentral.
GGUUGGUUAGCUCAGUCGGUUAAAGCAUGGUGCUGAUAACAUCAAGGUUGCAGGUUCAAUCCCUGUUCGGUCCC